RNAcentral lists this ribosomal RNA (393 nucleotides) under uncultured bacterium. RNAcentral describes it as "partial 16S ribosomal RNA". It matches the Rfam family "Bacterial small subunit ribosomal RNA", at positions 523 to 918 of the family's 1533-position model. The record is from RNAcentral.
AUACGGAGGAUGCGAGCGUUAUCCGGAUUUAUUGGGUUUAAAGGGAGCGUAGGUGGGAUAUUAAGUCAGCUGUGAAAGUUUGGGGCUCAACCUUAAAAUUGCAGUUGAUACUGGUUUCCUUGAGUACGGUACAGGUGGGCGGAAUUCGUGGUGUAGCGGUGAAAUGCUUAGAUAUCACGAAGAACUCCGAUCGCGAAGGCAGCUCACCGGGCCGGAACUGACACUGAUGCUCGAAAGUGCGGGUAUCAAACAGGAUUAGAUACCCUGGUAGUCCGCACAGUAAACGAUGAAUACUCGCUGUUUGCGAUACACUGUAAGCGGCCAAGCGAAAGCGUUAAGUAUUCCACCUGGGGAGUACGCCGGCAACGGUGAAACUCAAAGGAAUCGACGGGG